CCCUCCUUAGCAUAGCGGCCUAGUGCGUCCGGCUGUAGACCGGAAGAUCCCCAGUUCAAAUCUGGGAGGAGGGA
This 74-nucleotide transfer RNA is filed under the name archaeon. Its description in RNAcentral is "tRNA-Tyr". It matches the Rfam family "tRNA". Rfam says of the family: Transfer RNA (tRNA) molecules are approximately 80 nucleotides in length. The record is from RNAcentral.